GAAGAGAAACCAAGGAAGAACAAGCCCUAGGUGAAAAAUCAAAGAGAAAGUGUUGGAAUUCAAGGAAACAAGCUAGGUAAGUUCAAAUUUCUUUAAUUCUCCUUGAUACCUAGCUUACCCAUGCUUUUGUUCUUGAUUUCCAUGGUUGAAUAUUGAGUUAUCAUGAUGAAUUCAAUUCUGAAAAAUGGGUAUGGAAGAGGAAUUGUUGUUGGAAUAAUUUGAUUUUAGACUAUGUUAGUGUUUAAGGAUAGUUAAGCAUGGUUAUGAACAAAAACACAAAAGAAAUAUUCAAUUUCUCUAGGGUUCCUUGUUGUUCGAACCAUGAGGGCUGAAUAUCAAUGGGGGAUUGUUUUUCUUUCAAGGAAAAUGGCUUGAAAAUAUGAUGAAUUAAAGUGAAACGGUUAUGUAGAAAAAUUUCGGUGCUAGUGCACCAAAUGAUCGAAUUUUUCUAUAAGGAACUGUGAGGGUUCUAAUGCUGAAUUUGGCUUUAUUUAAAUGGUAUGUGGUAAAUUAAGGUAUUAGAGGAGAAAUGGAUUAAUUUGGAGUGAAAUUGGAUGCAUUGGCCAAUUUAUCAAAUGAAAAAUCGACUUAGGCCACUACCGAAUCUAGAUGGCUACCCGUGCAUUUUUCAUUUCAUAUCAUAUAUAUAUCGAGCCUGAAAUAGCUUAUGACUGUUAGACACAAUUUAAUUGGAAUAUGUGUCAUGGAUUAUGGCUAGGUGGUGAGCCAUUGCAUACGGGUAAAGGACUGUACCCGCAGACUAAAAAUAGGAGUAUUUCUACUCCUAAUACCGGUGAGUGGACUUGCAUUUCAAACUUAUUUUGGGGAAUAUGAAAGAUUCUAUCCAACUUGCCUUAGAAAAUGUACCUUGGGAACAAGCUUUUAGUAAAAUGAUUUAUAUUGUGAAAAUGUGCUAUACAAUAGUUUAUGUGUUAUCACAAUAUGAUAAAAUGCAUGAUAUGCAUUGGAUGCUUCUUUACAUGUUGAUUUGAACCCGGCUAUGUGCGAGUAGGAGUGCACAUAAGCUGUUGCUGACCCGGCUAUGUGUGAGUGGGAGUGCACAUAAGCCGUUGUUGCCUCCGUAGCGAAAGGGGGGAUGCUCCGCGAUCUCCCACCUCUCCGCCCAAGAGCUUGGAAGAGGAAGGAAGGGACUACUCUGUUGCUUCGUGAUCUAGAGUGAAGUACACCUUUUGCCGAGUGAAGGGGGGGAAGCUUGGAAGAGGAGGGAAGGGACUGCUCCGUUGCUUCAUGAUCCGGAGUGAAGUGCACCUCAUGUCGAGUGAAGGGGGGGAAGCUUGGAAGAGGAAGGAACGGACUGCUCCGUUGCUUCGUGAUCCGAAGUGAAGUGCACCUCUUGUCGAGUGAAGUGGGGGGAUGCUUCCUGAUCUCCCACCCCCUAGUGACAAUAGCAUAAGUCGUUGCAUAUGAGAUGAUGAUGAUGGGAUGAUGUGCAUGAUGAUGGGAUGAUGUGCAUGAUGAUGAUGAUGGGAUGGUGUGCAUGUUGAUGAUGGGUAUAUGGUUGUAAAUGCAAAUAUGUAAGCAUUUGUUUUGUUGAAAUUUGGAAGUUUACAUGUGUUACAUGUUGCUAUUGUUAUUUUAGCAAGAUGACUUGUUUUAAGGGGAUGACUUGUUUUAAGGGAAAAAGGAGACUUUUUCCUUGAUGUUUUUGUUCUUGUUGUAGCGAGAAUGAAGUUCGUUACAGCGAGAAACUUUCUGUCCAUUUUGCUAACUUGUGGGUUUUUGCCAUAUAUCCUAUUUCUUUGAUACCAUAGUUGAGCAUGGAUUUUUGUAAAGUGAUUUACUCAUGUGGGGUUUAAAUGAGGGGUUUAAAGGAGCUAAAACAAUUGCAUGGUUUUGAGAAAAUGAAUGCAUCAUGAUUUCGACAAACAUUCCUUAUGGUAUGCUUGUUCCCAUCUUGUUCACUCACUGAGUAUUGUACUCACGUUUUAUAAAAAAUUCAUGUUUUCAGAUCAAGUGACUGUUGGACCCUAGAUCGAGGAGUCCCCGUAGUGCAUCUCCUGGGUAUGUGUCUGGCAUUCGAUAGUAAUCCCUUUUAUUAUAAAUGUCUCCGUUGGAAGUCAUGAGUCUUUUUGUAUUGUGAAUACAAUCUAACAAUGUGAAUAUGUGUAUGCAAUGUAAAUUGCUAAAUACAUGACUAGUAUAAUGCAUGUAUAUUAUUAUCGAUAAUGCCAUUGUGUUUUGGCUAUGUUCACACCCGGGAAAAGGUGUGUGUAUGCAUGAUAUGAUAAAUUUGUUAAGCAAAGGUAAAUGGAUAGGCUUGCUUGGGCUUAGUGAGCUAUGCUCAUUGAGCUCAUGCGCCGGUCAUGGCUCGAAAAAUUGGGUCAUGACAAAGUUGAUAUCAGAGCCCUAGGUUGUUUAGGUCCUAUGGUGUUAUGGUCAAGUCCAGCGGAGAGUCAGGUUUUUAUGUGGGAUUUUUAAUUAUAAAUUGUGAGCCGCGACACAUUUCAUAAUCGAGAAACCGCAUAAAUUCUCAAUCUUAGAAACCACCUUAUCUCUUUAACUGUGGUUAAUGACAAGUGUUUGCUCUUAUCUAGGUAAGAAUGCCACCUAAGACACGGGCCACCUUAAGACAAGUAGGGGAGCAAGAUGCCCCUACUGAGAUGACUAAUAGGGCACAGGCACUCACCCCGUAGGGGGCAAGGUAGGCGUGGCAGGGUCGCUAGGCCGGUGAGAGCGAGUACGCCUGUGAAUAGGAGAAAAGAAUACUUGGUGGUACCCACUCCUUUAAAGGAGGUGUUUGUGACUGAAUAAGAAAAUAAAUCCUGCGUAGCUCGAAUCAAUGAUAAAAAUACCUUAGUGAAUUUAGUGGUGUUAGACACCUUAAGGAGCUUAAGGAUCAGUUGGAGGACCCUUAUGAAAAGAAAGAAAAGAUGUUUAUCAAAGGCACAGAUGAAAUGUUAAGGUAUGAAAAUAAACUUUAUGUACCGGAUAAUGAUGAAUUGAGGAGAGAGAUAUUGGAGGAGGCGCAUAUGGCAGCCUAUGUGGUACAUUCAGGAGCUUGGCAACGAGGCUGAGUGAUACUGCUUGCCAAGUGCUCUGAUAGGUACCCUUUGUUGCUCGUCGCGGAAGGGAGAAAAGGUUGCCCUGAAGGGUGGAGCCACCCCUAGUGACAAUGUUGGUAUUAGGAUUUAAAGGAGGUGACAUGGGAAGCUGAGGAUGAGAUGCGGACAAGGCAUCCACACCUUUUCGAUAUGUAAACGUAAGUCACUCUACAUUGAAUUUAAAUUCGGGGAUCGAAUUUUUAUUAGUGGGGGAGAAUGUGAGACCUUGUCAAGCUCGAUUCAAAAAUGAGUUUUUUUGCCCCAUUUGGUUAAUAUUGAUCAAUGUUAGUGUUAUUUGAGGUUGAAAAGUAGAAAUAAUUUGAUCCCGGUACAUUUCGGAGUAUAGGGGUAAAAUUGUAAUUUUUUCACCCCGGGGGCAAAUCGGUAAAUUUUUCACCCCAGCACUUGUCAAGGCCAAGGGAUUUUAUUCAUCCUGUAAAUGGAUAAACAUGAGAAAUGUGUGGUGGAGAGAGAUUGCUUAAUGGCUAAGUAUGACACAUGGACCAAUGGAAUGGUGACAUGUGUUAAAAUCUCAUCCAUUCAUUAUUUUCUUUAUAAAAGGCAUAAAAAUCAGCCCAUUUCUCCCAUAGUGAUCAGCCAAACCAGAAGAGAAGAGAAACCAAGGAAGAACAAGCCCUAGGUGGGAAAAAUCAAAGAGAAAGUGUUGGAAUUCAAGGAAACAAGCUAGGUAAGUUAAAAUUUCUUUAAUUCUCCUUGAUACCUAGCUUACCCAUGCUUUUGUUCUUGAUUUCCAUGGUUGAAUAUUGAGUUAUCAUGAUGAAUUCAAUUCUGAAAAAUGGGUAUGGAAGAGGAAUUGUUGUUGGAAUAAUUUGAUUUUAGACUAUGUUAGUGUUUAGGGAUAGUUAAGCAUGGUUAUGAACAAAAACACAAAAGAAAUAUUCAAUUUCUCUAGGGUUCCUUGUUGGUCGAACCAUGAGGGCUGAAUAUCAAUGGGGGAUUGUUUUUAUUUCAAGGAAAAUGGCUUGAAAAAUGAUGAAUUAAGGUGAAACGGUUAUGUAGAAAAAAAUUCGAUGCUAGUGCACCAAAUGACCAAAUUUUUCUAUAAGGAACUGUGAGGGUUCUAAUGCUGAAUUUGGCUUUAUUUAAAUGGUAUGUGGUAAAUUAAGGUAUUAGAGGAGAAAUGGAUUAAUUUGGAGUGAAAUUGGACGCAUUGGCCAAUUUAUCGGAUGAAAAAUCGACUUAGGCCACUACCGGGUCUAGAUGGCUACUCGUGCAUUUUUCAUUUCAUAUCAUAUAUAUAUCGAGCCUGAAAUAGCUUAUGACUGUUAGACACAAUUUAAUUGGAAUAUGUGUCAUGGAUUAUGGCUAGGUGGUGAGCCAUUGGAUACGGGUAAAGGACUGUACCCGCGGACUGAAAAUAGGAGUAUUUCUACUCCUAAUACCGGUGAGUGGACUUGCAUUUCAAACUUGUUUUGGGGAAUAUGAAAGAUUCUAUCCAACUUGCCUUAGAAAAUGUACCUUGGGAACAAGCUUUUAGUAAAAUGAUUUUAUAUUGUGAAAGUGUGCUAUACAAUGGUUUAUGUGUUAUCACAAUAUGAUAAAAUGCAUGAUAUGCAUUGGAUGCUUCUUUACAUGUCGAUUUGAACCCAGCUAUGUGCGAGUAGGAGUGCACAUAAGCCGUUGUUGACCCGGCUAUGUGUGAGUGGGAGUGCACAUAAGCCGUUGUUGCCUCCGUAG
RNAcentral lists this long non-coding RNA (4760 nucleotides) under Theobroma cacao (cacao). RNAcentral describes it as "long non-coding RNA (TCAC_LNC006060)". The record is from RNAcentral. Lineage: Eukaryota; Viridiplantae; Streptophyta; Magnoliopsida; Malvales; Malvaceae.